RNAcentral lists this long non-coding RNA (1031 nucleotides) under Zostera marina. Its description in RNAcentral is "long non-coding RNA (ZMAR_LNC004867)". Lineage: Eukaryota; Viridiplantae; Streptophyta; Magnoliopsida; Alismatales; Zosteraceae. The record is from RNAcentral.
UGGUGUCGUCGUAGUCGUUCUUCUCGGAAUCCGCCGACGGUGCUGGUCGCCCGCGCUUCCAGCGAAUUAAUCAAGAAAGAUCAAAAAAGGGGUGCAACACGAGGACUUCCCAGGAGGUCACCCAUCCCAGUACUACUCUCGCCCAAGCACGCUUAACUGCGGAGUUCUGAUGGGAUCCGGUGCUUUAGUGCUGGUAUGAUGGCACCCGUAAAGAUCCACCGACGAAGGUACCAGAUGUUCUGCCGCAUAUAGAUUCACCGACGACGCUCCGGACGACGGUGGGAUCGAUCCCCCCGUCCGUCUAGGACGCGGAGAGGAAGAGGGAGUUCGGAAUCAGGUAGGGAACCCGACGUGACAUUCUCGGGUCGAUCCGGCAGAAUCGGGGACGGAAAUCCGGUCGAAAUCCGCGCAGGUCCCGGGGGUAAAAAUUGUCUGCGCGUGCGUAUCGUUCGGGAACGUCGGGAAACGCGUGCGCAUCGAACAAAGAAAGCGUCAUCGGCAGUGCGGAUGGUGUCGUCGUAGUCGUUCUUCUCGGAAUCCGCCGACGGUGCUGGUCGCCCGCGCUUCCAGCGAAUUAAUCAAGAAAGAUCAAAAAAGGGGUGCAACACGAGGACUUCCCAGGAGGUCACCCAUCCCAGUACUACUCUCGCCCAAGCACGCUUAACUGCGGAGUUCUGAUGGGAUCCGGUGCUUUAGUGCUGGUAUGAUCGCACCCGUAAAGAUCCACCGACGAAGGUACCAGAUGUUCUGCCGCAUAUAGAUUCACCGACGACGCUCCGGACGACGGUGGGAUCGAUCCCCCCGUCCGUCUAGGACGCGGAGAGGAAGAGGGAGUUCGGAAUCAGGUAGGGAACCCGACGUGACAUUCUCGGGUCGAUCCGGCAGAAUCGGGGACGGAAAUCCGGUCGAAAUCCGCGCAGGUCCCGGGGGUAAAAAUUGUUUGCGCGUGCGUAUCGUUCGGGAACGUCGGGAAACGCGUGCGCAUCGAACACGAACAAAGAAAGCGUUAUCGGCAGGGCGGAUGGUGUCGU